GGCCCAAAUUUGAAGUAGAGUUGGUUAGUAGGAUCAUUUGGCCAUAUUAAUAUACUCUAGUUCAAGUUUGUGCCC
Molecule: microRNA precursor, 75 nt
Filed under: Haemonchus placei
Lineage: Eukaryota; Metazoa; Nematoda; Chromadorea; Rhabditida; Trichostrongylidae
Description: mir-5928 microRNA precursor family
Rfam family: mir-5928 microRNA precursor family
Source: Rfam by way of RNAcentral